Molecule: ribosomal RNA, 525 nt
Filed under: uncultured bacterium
Lineage: Bacteria
Description: partial 16S ribosomal RNA
Rfam family: Bacterial small subunit ribosomal RNA
Source: RNAcentral
GACGAACGCUGGCGGCGUGCCUAAUACAUGCAAGUCGAACGAAGCUUUUUUAACUGGUGCUUGCACCGACUUAAACAACUGAGUGGCGAACGGGUGAGUAACACGUGGGUAACCUGCCCCAAAGCGGGGGAUAACAUUUGGAAACAGAUGCUAAUACCGCAUAACCACAGAAACCACAUGGUUUCUGUGUCAAAGAUGGUUUCGGCUAUCACUUUGGGAUGGACCCGCGGCGUAUUAGCUAGUUGGUAAGGUAAUGGCUUACCAAGGCAAUGAUACGUAGCCGAACUGAGAGGUUGAUCGGCCACAUUGGGACUGAGACACGGCCCAAACUCCUACGGGAGGCAGCAGUAGGGAAGCUUCCGCAAUGGACGAAAGUCUGACGGAGCAACGCCGCGUGAGUGAAGAAGGUUUUCGGAUCGUAAAGCUCUGUUGUUUGAGACGAAUGUGCCUGUUUCGAAUAGGGAUAGGUAAUGACGGUAUUAAACGAGAAAGCCACGGCUAACUACGUGCCAGCAGCCGCUGUAA